AGUGAACGCUGGCGGCAGGCCUAACACAUGCAAGUCGAACGGCAGCACAGUAAGAGCUUGCUCUUACGGGUGGCGAGUGGCGGACGGGUGAGGAAUACAUCGGCAUCUACUUUUUCGUGGGGGAUAACGUAGGGAAACUUACGCUAAUACCGCAUACGACCUACGGGUGAAAGCAGGGGAUCUUCGGACCUUGCGCGAUUGAAUGAGCCGAUGUCGGAUUAGCUAGUUGGCGGGGUAAAGGCCCACCAAGGCGACGAUCCGUAGCUGGUCUGAGAGGAUGAUCAGCCACACUGGAACUGAGACACGGUCCAGACUCCUACGGGAGGCAGCAGUGGGGAAUAUUGGACAAUGGGCGCAAGCCUGAUCCAGCCAUACCGCGUGGGUGAAGAAGGCCUUCGGGUUGUAAAGCCCUUUUGUUGGGAAAGAAAAGCAGCGGGUUAAUACCCCGCUGUUCUGACGGUACCCAAAGAAUAAGCACCGGCUAACUACGUG
This 492-nucleotide ribosomal RNA is filed under the name uncultured bacterium. Its description in RNAcentral is "partial 16S ribosomal RNA". It matches the Rfam family "Bacterial small subunit ribosomal RNA", at positions 29 to 507 of the family's 1533-position model. The record is from RNAcentral.